RNAcentral lists this ribosomal RNA (478 nucleotides) under uncultured bacterium. RNAcentral's name for it is "SSU rRNA". It matches the Rfam family "Bacterial small subunit ribosomal RNA", at positions 26 to 521 of the family's 1533-position model. The record is from RNAcentral.
AGGACGAACGCUGGCGGCGUGCUUAACACAUGCAAGUCGAGCGGAAAGGCCCUUCGGGGUACUCGAGCGGCGAACGGGUGAGUAACACGUGAGCAAUCUGCCCUUAGCUCUGGGAUAGCUCCGGGAAACCGGGAUUAAUACCAGAUAUGACCACGGCCGACAUCAGCUGUGGUGGAAAGAAUUUCGGCUAGGGAUGAGCUCGCGGCCUAUCAGCUUGUUGGUGGGGUAAAGGCCUACCAAGGCGACGACGGGUAGCCGGCCUGAGAGGGCGACCGGCCACACUGGGACUGAGACACGGCCCAGACUCCUACGGGAGGCAGCAGUGGGGGAAUAUUGCGCAAUGGGCGAAAGCCUGACGCAGCGACGCCGCGUGCGGGAUGAAGGCCUUCGGGUUGUAAACCGCUUUCAGCAGGGACGAAGCGAAAGUGACGGUACCUGCAGAAGAAGCGCCGGCUAACUACGUGCCAGCAGCCGCGGU